RNAcentral lists this ribosomal RNA (495 nucleotides) under uncultured bacterium. RNAcentral's name for it is "partial 16S ribosomal RNA". It matches the Rfam family "Bacterial small subunit ribosomal RNA", at positions 28 to 507 of the family's 1533-position model. The record is from RNAcentral.
GACGAACGCUGGCGGCGUGCCUAAUACAUGCAAGUAGAACGCUGAAGGAGGAGCUUGCUUCUCUGGAUGAGUUGCGAACGGGUGAGUAACGCGUAGGUAACCUGCCUGGUAGCGGGGGAUAACUAUUGGAAACGAUAGCUAAUACCGCAUAAGAGUAGAUGUUGCAUGACAUUUGCUUAAAAGGUGCAAUUGCAUCACUACCAGAUGGACCUGCGUUGUAUUAGCUAGUUGGUGGGGUAACGGCUCACCAAGGCGACGAUACAUAGCCGACCUGAGAGGGUGAUCGGCCACACUGGGACUGAGACACGGCCCAGACUCCUACGGGAGGCAGCAGUAGGGAAUCUUCGGCAAUGGACGGAAGUCUGACCGAGCAACGCCGCGUGAGUGAAGAAGGUUUUCGGAUCGUAAAGCUCUGUUGUAAGAGAAGAACGAGUGUGAGAGUGGAAAGUUCACACUGUGACGGUAUCUUAACAGAAAGGGACGGCUAACUACGUG